GCCUGACGCAGCGACGCCGCGUGAGGGAUGAAGGUCUUCGGAUCGUAAACCUCUGUCAGCAGGGAAGAACGGUCACUGUGCUAAUCAGCAGUGAAUUGACGGUACCUGCAAAGGAAGCACCGGCUAACUCCGUGCC
This 136-nucleotide ribosomal RNA is filed under the name uncultured bacterium. Its description in RNAcentral is "partial 16S ribosomal RNA". It matches the Rfam family "Bacterial small subunit ribosomal RNA", at positions 381 to 509 of the family's 1533-position model. The record is from RNAcentral.